This 608-nucleotide ribosomal RNA is filed under the name uncultured fungus. RNAcentral's name for it is "eukaryotic LSU rRNA". The stretch from base 252 to 403 matches the Rfam family "5.8S ribosomal RNA". Lineage: Eukaryota; Fungi. The record is from RNAcentral.
CGGGCCGCGAUUCGCCCUUCUUGGUCAUUUAGAGGAAGUAAAAGUCGUAACAAGGUCUCGUAGGUGAACCUGCGGAGGGAUCAUUACCGAGUUCAUGCCCUUACGGGUGAUCUCCCACCCUAUGUUAUUAUUACCUUUGUUGCUUUGGCGGGCCGCUGAUUUCGGUCAGGCUACCGGCUCCGGCUGGUAAGCGCCCGCCAGAGGACCCAAACCCUGAAUAUUAGUGUCGUCUGAGUACUAUAUAAUAGUUAAAACUUCAACAACGGAUCUCUUGGUUCUGGCAUCGAUGAAGAACGCAGCGAAAGCGAUAAGUAAUGUGAAUUGCAGAAUUCAGUGAAUCAUCGAAUCUUUGACGCACAUUGCGCCCCUUGGUAUUCCGAGGGGCAUGCCUGUUCGAGCGUCUUACAACCCUCAAGCACUGCUUGGUACUGGGCUCCGCUUCUUAUACAGCGGCCUUAAAAUUAGUGGCGGUGUCAUUAGGCCCUGAGCGUAGUAAAUAUCUCGCUAUAGGGACUUGGUGAUUACUGGCCAGCAAUCCCCAACUUUCUAGUUUGACCUCGGAUCAGGUAGGGAUACCCGCUGAACUUAAGCAUAUCAUAAGCGGAGGA